This 253-nucleotide ribosomal RNA is filed under the name uncultured bacterium. RNAcentral's name for it is "partial 16S ribosomal RNA". It matches the Rfam family "Bacterial small subunit ribosomal RNA", at positions 524 to 776 of the family's 1533-position model. The record is from RNAcentral.
UACGGAGGGUGCAAGCAUUGCUCGGAAUCACUGGGCGUAAGGGGCGUGUAGGCGGGAAGGAAAGUCGGGCGUGAAAUCCCUGGGCUCAACCCAGGAACUGCACUCGAAACUUCUUUUCUUGAGUGCCGGAGAGGAAAGCGGAAUUCCUGGUGUAGAGGUGAAAUUCGUAGAUAUCAGGAGGAACACCAGUGGCGAAGGCGGCUUUCUGGACGGUAACUGACGCUGAGACGCGAAAGCGUGGGGAGCAAACAGG